RNAcentral lists this ribosomal RNA (805 nucleotides) under Acinetobacter haemolyticus. RNAcentral describes it as "bacterial SSU rRNA". It matches the Rfam family "Bacterial small subunit ribosomal RNA", at positions 290 to 1089 of the family's 1533-position model. Lineage: Bacteria; Pseudomonadati; Pseudomonadota; Gammaproteobacteria; Moraxellales; Moraxellaceae. The record is from RNAcentral.
AACUGAGAGGAUGAUCCGCCACACUGGGACUGAGACACGGCCCAGACUCCUACGGGAGGCAGCAGUGGGGAAUAUUGGACAAUGGGCGGAAGCCUGAUCCAGCCAUGCCGCGUGUGUGAAGAAGGCCUUUUGGUUGUAAAGCACUUUAAGCGAGGAGGAGGCUACUUGGAUUAAUACUCUAGGAUAGUGGACGUUACUCGCAGAAUAAGCACCGGCUAACUCUGUUGCCAGCAGCCGCGGUAAUACAGAGGGUGCGAGCGUUAAUCGGAUUUACUGGGCGUAAAGCGUGCGUAGGCGGCUUCUUAAGUCGGAUGUGAAAUCCCUGAGCUUAACUUAGGAAUUGCAUUCGAUACUGGGAAGCUAGAGUAUCGGAGAGGAUGGUAGAAUUCCAGGUGUAGCGGUGAAAUGCGUAGAGAUCUGGAGGAAUACCGAUGGCGAAGGCAGCCAUCUGGCCUAAUACUGACGCUGAGGUACGAAAGCAUGGGGAGCAAACAGGAUUAAUACCCUGGUAGUCCAUGCCGUAAACGAUGUCUACUAGCCGUUGGGGCCUUUGAGGCUUUAGUGGCGCAGCUAACGCGAUAAGUAGACCGCCUGGGGAGUACGGUCGCAAGACUAAAACUCAAAUGAAUUGACGGGGGCCCGCACAAGCGGUGGAGCAUGUGUUUAAUUCGAUGCAACGCGAAGAACCUUACCUGGUCUUGACAUAGUAAGAACUUUCCAGAGAUGGAUUGGUGCCUUCGGGAACUUACAUACAGGUGCUGCAUGGCUGUCGUCAGCUCGUGUCGUGAGAUGGGGUUAAGUCCCG